Molecule: ribosomal RNA, 184 nt
Filed under: uncultured Bacteroidota bacterium
Lineage: Bacteria; Pseudomonadati; Bacteroidota
Description: uncultured Bacteroidetes bacterium partial 16S ribosomal RNA
Rfam family: Bacterial small subunit ribosomal RNA
Source: RNAcentral
GGGAGGCAGCAGUAGGGAAUAUUGGGCAAUGGACGAGAGUCUGACCCAGCCAUGCCGCGUGCAGGAUGAAGGCUUUNUGAGUCGUAAACUGCUUUUGACAGGGAAGAAUAAGGCUUACGUGUAGGNUGAUGACGGUACCUGCAGAAUAAGCACCGGCUAACUCCGUGCCAGCAGCCGCGGUAAU